RNAcentral lists this long non-coding RNA (226 nucleotides) under Homo sapiens (human). Its description in RNAcentral is "non-protein coding HYMAI:6". Lineage: Eukaryota; Metazoa; Chordata; Mammalia; Primates; Hominidae. The record is from RNAcentral.
CUCCGGACUCCAGAACUUUCCAAGCGGGGGAAACUUGGCGGCGGAUUGCUGUCACGUCUAAUGUGGCUGCUGCCUCGUGUCACAUCUGAAACUCAUCUGUACCUCACUUAGAAAGUUUGAAUCUUCAGACAAACUUCUGGGAGGACUCGGUCCCUGCCUCGCAGCAGAUGUUCCCUGUCACUCAGUAGCAUAUGGCUACCCAUUCUCCCCAGAAAUCUCACCAGUG